This 493-nucleotide long non-coding RNA is filed under the name Mytilus galloprovincialis (Mediterranean mussel). Lineage: Eukaryota; Metazoa; Mollusca; Bivalvia; Mytilida; Mytilidae. The record is from RNAcentral.
AGGUAAGGAUGACAAAGCUUGGAGUAUGUAUAUUGACGACAGUAGAAGUUGGUUCUUACAUAAUGAUGAACAUCGGAACCGAACCGACGGAGGUAUUCAACGCGGAAGUGUCAUCGGUAUUUUAUUGAAUCUUGAAAAACAUCUGAUGUGUUAUUAUGUGGAUGAACAGCCACAUGGACCAAUUGCAUUUAAUGAUCUCCGUGGGGUAUUUUUCCCAGCAGUCAGUAUUAACAGAAAUGUUCAAGUGACACUCAGGACAGGUCUAGUCCCACCGCCUGAAUGUGAAACUGAAGAUAAAUGAAUUUUACAAAAGGGAGAUAAUUUUGUCUGUGAUGUUGUUAUUUAUGACUUUAUACUUUUAAGAAUGGUCUUAUGGUGGCAGCAUAAUUUAUAUAAUGAAGAUUCAUAAUGAAAAAUAUAAAGCAUUCUGGGAAAUAUUUUUGAAUGCUUACAUCAAAAUGUUCAACAACAUUGUAAACCAUGGAAAUUCUAC